GCACCUCGCUUACACCGAGGAGAUAUCCGUUCAAAUCGGAUCAUUUUGA
RNAcentral lists this transfer RNA (49 nucleotides) under Micrixalus saxicola (small torrent frog). Its description in RNAcentral is "partial tRNA-Val". It matches the Rfam family "tRNA", at positions 23 to 71 of the family's 71-position model. From Rfam's summary of the family: Transfer RNA (tRNA) molecules are approximately 80 nucleotides in length. Their secondary structure includes four short double-helical elements and three loops (D, anti-codon, and T loops). Lineage: Eukaryota; Metazoa; Chordata; Amphibia; Anura; Micrixalidae. The record is from RNAcentral.